RNAcentral lists this ribosomal RNA (446 nucleotides) under uncultured bacterium. Its description in RNAcentral is "partial 16S ribosomal RNA". It matches the Rfam family "Bacterial small subunit ribosomal RNA", at positions 338 to 795 of the family's 1533-position model. The record is from RNAcentral.
CCUACGAGUGGCUGCAGUCGAGAAUCAUUCACAAUGGGGGAAACCCUGAUGGUGCGACGCCGCGUUGGGGAAUGAAGGUCUUCGGAUUGUAAACCCCUGUCAUGUGGGAGCAAAUUAAAAAGAUAGUACCACAAGAGGAAGAGACGGCUAACUCUGUGCCAGCCGCCGCGGUAAUCCAGAGGUCUCAAGCGUUGUUCGGAAUCACUGGGCGUAAAGCGUGCGUCGGCUGUUUCGUAAGUCGUGUGUGAAAGGCGCGGGCUCAACCCGCGGACGGCACAUGAUACUGCGAGACUAGAGUAAUGGAGGGGGAACCGGAAUUCUCGGUGUAGCAGUGAAAUGCGUAGAUAUCGAGAGGAACACUCGUGGCGAAGGCGGGUUCCUGGACAUUAACUGACGCUGAGGCACGAAGGCCAGGGGAGCGAAAGGGAUUAGAUACCCCGGUAGUC